Molecule: transfer RNA, 73 nt
Filed under: Saccoglossus kowalevskii
Lineage: Eukaryota; Metazoa; Hemichordata; Enteropneusta; Harrimaniidae
Description: tRNA-Tyr
Rfam family: tRNA
About the family: Transfer RNA (tRNA) molecules are approximately 80 nucleotides in length. Their secondary structure includes four short double-helical elements and three loops (D, anti-codon, and T loops). Further hydrogen bonds mediate the characteristic L-shaped molecular structure. tRNAs have two regions of fundamental functional importance: the anti-codon, which is responsible for specific mRNA codon recognition, and the 3' end, to which the tRNAs corresponding amino acid is attached (by aminoacyl-tRNA synthetases). tRNAs cope with the degeneracy of the genetic code in two manners: having more than one tRNA (with a specific anti-codon) for a particular amino acid; and 'wobble' base-pairing, i.e. permitting non-standard base-pairing at the 3rd anti-codon position.
Source: RNAcentral
CCUUCGAUAGCUCAGUUGGUAGAGCGGAGGACUGUAGAUCCUUAGGUCGCUGAUUCGAAUCCGGCUGGAAACA